Molecule: transfer RNA, 95 nt
Filed under: Drepanopeziza brunnea f. sp. 'multigermtubi' MB_m1
Lineage: Eukaryota; Fungi; Ascomycota; Leotiomycetes; Helotiales; Drepanopezizaceae
Description: Marssonina brunnea f. sp. 'multigermtubi' MB_m1 tRNA
Rfam family: tRNA
About the family: Transfer RNA (tRNA) molecules are approximately 80 nucleotides in length.
Source: Rfam by way of RNAcentral
GCGUCUGUGGUUUAGUGGUAAAAUCCAUCGUUGCCAGUUCUGAGCGAUCAGAAAGCAGCUUCGAUGGGCCCCGGGUUCGAUUCCCGGCGGACGCA